Long non-coding RNA from Bos taurus (domestic cattle), 1118 nucleotides. Lineage: Eukaryota; Metazoa; Chordata; Mammalia; Artiodactyla; Bovidae. The record is from Ensembl.
UGGAUAGGACCAAUGACAUUCCAACCGGGCAUCUGCAGGUGUUCACCUGGUGAUCUUUAGAUGUCAGAGGACUGAAAAGUCCAUAACCCACAUCAUGCUAAGCACCUCCAUGUUUGAAUGUACAGAGGCCUGUAGUUAGUUACAUCUGUGCAGAACCAUGAUUUGUGUACUUUUCCCAAUCAUGUUCCCCCAUAUCCCCAUGCUUCCCACAUGCCCCAUGCCUCAGACCACCUUGCUUCCCUAUUUGUUAUACCAUAAAUAACCCCAGACUCUUGACUUCAGAAGGCAGAACUGAGUUUUGUUUCUUCUCUUUUGGUCUGCCUUGUCAAUAAGCCCUCUCUUUGCUGCAGGGCUUGGUGUCUCAGCAUUUUGGCCCCUGAUGGUCAGGCAAAACAAACUUUGUUUGGUUACAAAGCAUUUUUACCAAUUUUCCUUAGAAAAUGGAUCAAGAAAUUUCUUCUUGGCUCUCCUUUUGCCACUUUUGUGGACUGUGGGUUUUUUUCUUCCUAAGCCUCAAAUCCUUUUAGAACUGAAGAUCUCAGCUGGUCCCAAGUGAAUCUCCAUUUGUGUUCCCUCUUCAAUAAAGUCUUCUUCUCAACACAGAGGAGGAUGUGAAAGCCACGGCUCCUGAAGGCACUGUCCCUGCUAUUUGAAAGACCAAGACAUAUAUACACACGUAUGUCCUGUGUGUGGAUAACUUACAACAAAGUAUUCUGAUCCUGAAUGUAUGUACAGUAGAAUGUUAACUCCUUCUAGGCAUAGAAGUAGCACCAUAUGUCCCUGUAGUAGGAAUGUGUCCCAAUCCUAGAAUGAUGGGGUUGUAUUUGGUAUGUGACUCUAAAGUCAAACUUACUAUUGAAAUGUAUAACUGAUCUACAAAGAUAUUUAUAAGCCUCCCUCCCCUCUAUUUUAAUAAAGUGAAUGAAGGAUAAUUCCAGACAUUUUAUGUUUUUUAAAAAAAAUCUUUGAAACAUUUAUAUAGUGUUUCUUAUGUAACAAGCAUUAUGCAACAAACAUUGCUCUACAUCUUUUUACAGAUAAUAAUUUAAUUCCCUGUGAGCAGGAUACAACUAUCACUCCCUUUUAUACAUAAGAAAAUGAGGAACAGAGAUUAGAUU